UACCCAACAGUAGGACUAUGGGCUACGUG
This 29-nucleotide non-coding RNA is filed under the name Mus musculus (house mouse). Lineage: Eukaryota; Metazoa; Chordata; Mammalia; Rodentia; Muridae. The record is from RNAcentral.